AGAGUUUGAUCCUGGCUCAGGACGAACGCUGGCGGCGUGCUUAACACAUGCAAGUCUAAGGAGAAAGUUCCUUCGGGAGCGAGUAAACUGGCGAACGGGUGAGUAACGCGUAGGUAACCUGCCCUUAAGCUCGGGAUAACCCACCGAAAGGUGAGCUAAUACCGGAUAAUAUCUUUCCUCAUAAGGGGUAAAGAUCAAAGGUGGCUUCGGCUAUCACUUAUGGAUGGGCCUGCGUCUGAUUAGCUAGUUGGUAGGGUAACGGUCUACCAAGGCAAUGAUCAGUAGCUGGUCUGAGAGGGCGAUCAGCCACAUUGGGACUGAGAUACGGCCCAGACUCCUACGGGAGGCAGCAGUGGGGAAUUUUGCGCAAUGAGCGAAAGCUUGACGCAGCAACGCCGCGUGAUCGAAGAAGCUCUGCGGAGUGUAAAGAUCUGUCAUAGGGGAAGAUAAGUCCCGUUAUUAACACCAUCGGGAUGUGACGGUACCCUAUAAGAAAGCCCCGGCUAACUUCGUGCCAGCAGCCGCGGUAAUACGAGGGGGGCAAGCGUUGUCCGGAUUUAUUGGGCGUAAAGAGUUCGUAGGCUGGUUGGUCAGUCGAAAUUGAAAUCCCACGGCUUAACCGUGGACCCGGUUUUGAUACUGCCAAUCUUGAGUGAGGUAGAGGUAAGCGGAAUUCCUGGUGUAGCGGUGAAAUGCGUAGAUAUCAGGAGGAACACCAAAGGCGAAGGCAGCUUACUGGACCUAUACUGACGCUGAGGAACGAAAGCGUGGGGAGCAAACAGGAUUAGAGACCCUGGUAGUCCACGCCGUAAACGAUGAGUACUUGGUGGUGGGGGAUUCGACCCCUUCACUGUCGGAGCUAACGCGUUAAGUACUCCGCCUGGGAACUACGACCGCAAGGUUAAAACUCAAAUGAAUUGACGGGGACCCGCACAAGCGGUGGAGCAUGUGGUUUAAUUCGACGCUACGCGCAGAACCUUACCUGGGUUAAAUCCACCAGAAUCUAGCGUAAUUGCUGGAGUGCCCUUCGGGGAAUUGGUGCGAAGGUGCUGCAUGGCUGUCGUCAGCUCGUGUCGUGAGAUGUUGGGUUAAGUCCCGCAACGAGCGCAACCCUUGCCGUCUGUUGCCAUCAUUAAGUUGGGAACUCAGACGGGACUGCCGGCCUAAACCGGAGGAAGGUGGGGAUGACGUCAAGUCCUCAUGGCCCUUAUGCCCAGGGCUACACACGUGCUACAAUGGUAGGUACAAUGUGCUGCGAACUUGCGAGAGUGAGCUAAACACAAAAAACCUGCCUCAGUUCGGAUUGGAGUCUGCAACUCGACUCCAUGAAGCUGGAAUCGCUAGUAAUCGGAGAUCAGCACGCUCCGGUGAAUACGUUCCCGGGCCUUGUACACACCGCCCGUCACACCAUGGGAGUCGACUGCUCCAGAAGUAGGUAGCCUAACCCCCCUUUUCGAAGAGGGGAGGGCGCUUACCAAGGAGUGUUCGGUGACUGGGGUGAAGUCGUAACAAGGUAACC
RNAcentral lists this ribosomal RNA (1519 nucleotides) under uncultured bacterium. RNAcentral's name for it is "partial 16S ribosomal RNA". It matches the Rfam family "Bacterial small subunit ribosomal RNA". The record is from RNAcentral.